This 195-nucleotide ribosomal RNA is filed under the name uncultured bacterium. RNAcentral describes it as "partial 16S ribosomal RNA". It matches the Rfam family "Bacterial small subunit ribosomal RNA", at positions 333 to 528 of the family's 1533-position model. The record is from RNAcentral.
AAAAUACGGGAGGCAGCAGUGAGGAAUAUUGGUCAAUGGGCGAGAGCCUGAACCAGCCAAGUAGCGUGCAGGAUGACGGCCCUCUGGGUUGUAAACUGCUUUUAGUUGGGAACAAAAAAGGCGACGUGUCGCCUCUGGAGUGUACCAUCAGAAAAAGGACCGGCUAAUUCCGUGCCAGCAGCCGCGGUAAUUUUU